UAGUGGCGGACGGGUGAGUAACGCGUGGGAAUCUGCCCUCAGGAGGGGGAUAACGGUUGGAAACGACCGCUAAUACCCCAUAUGCCGAGAGGUGAAACGAAAUUCGCCUGAGGAUGAGCCCGCGUCUGAUUAGCUAGUUGGUGGGGUAAGGGCCUACCAAGGCAUCGAUCAGUAGCUGGUCUGAGAGGAUGAUCAGCCACACUGGGACUGAGACACGGCCCAGACUCCUACGGGAGGCAGCAGUGGGGAAUUUUCCGCAAUGGGCGCAAGCCUGACGGAGCAACGCCGCGUGAGGGAUGAAGGCCUCCGGGCUGUAAACCUCUUUUCUCAAGGAAGAAGAACUGACGGUACUUGAGGAAUAAGCCACGGCUAA
Molecule: ribosomal RNA, 373 nt
Filed under: uncultured bacterium
Lineage: Bacteria
Description: bacterial SSU rRNA
Rfam family: Bacterial small subunit ribosomal RNA
Source: RNAcentral